CAUGCAGUCGAGCGGAACGAGUUAUCUGAACCUUCGGGGAACGAUAACGGCGUCGAGCGGCGGACGGGUGAGUAAUGCCUAGGAAAUUGCCCUGAUGUGGGGGAUAACCAUUGGAAACGAUGGCUAAUACCGCAUGAUGCCUACGGGCCAAAGAGGGGGACCUUCGGGCCUCUCGCGUCAGGAUAUGCCUAGGUGGGAUUAGCUAGUUGGUGAGGUAAGGGCUCACCAAGGCGACGAUCCCUAGCUGGUCUGAGAGGAUGAUCAGCCACACUGGAACUGAGACACGGUCCAGACUCCUACGGGAGGCAGCAGUGGGGAAUAUUGCACAAUGGGCGCAAGCCUGAUGCAGCCAUGCCGCGUGUAUGAAGAAGGCCUUCGGGUUGUAAAGUACUUUCAGUCGUGAGGAAGGCGGCGUCGUUAAUAGCGGCGUUGUUUGACGUUAGCGACAGAAGAAGCACCGGCUAACUCCGUGCCAGCAGCCGCGGUAAUACGGAGGGUGCGAGCGUUAAUCGGAAUUACUGGGCGUAAAGCGCAUGCAGGUGGUUUGUUAAGUCAGAUGUGAAAGCCCGGGGCUCAACCUCGGAAUAGCAUUUGAAACUGGCAGACUAGAGUACUGUAGAGGGGGGUAGAAUUUCAGGUGUAGCGGUGAAAUGCGUAGAGAUCUGAAGGAAUACCGGUGGCGAAGGCGGCCCCCUGGACAGAUACUGACACUCAGAUGCGAAAGCGUGGGGAGCAACAGGAUUAGAUACCCUGGUAGUC
RNAcentral lists this ribosomal RNA (759 nucleotides) under Vibrio alginolyticus. Its description in RNAcentral is "bacterial SSU rRNA". It matches the Rfam family "Bacterial small subunit ribosomal RNA", at positions 54 to 795 of the family's 1533-position model. The record is from RNAcentral. Lineage: Bacteria; Pseudomonadati; Pseudomonadota; Gammaproteobacteria; Vibrionales; Vibrionaceae.